GACGAACGCUGGCGGCGUGCCUAAUACAUGCAAGUAGAACGCUGAAGGAGGAGCUUGCUCUUCUGGAUGAGUUGCGAACGGGUGAGUAACGCGUAGGUAACCUGCCUGGUAGCGGGGGAUAACUAUUGGAAACGAUAGCUAAUACCGCAUAACAGUAGAUGUUGCAUGACAUUUGCUUAAAAGGUGCAAUUGCACCACUACCAGAUGGACCUGCGUUGUAUUUGCUAGUGGGUGGGGUAACGGCUCACCAAGGCGACGAUACAUAGCAGACCUGAGAGGGUGAUCGGCCAGACUGGGAGUGAGACACGGCCCAGACUCCUAGGGGAGGCAGCAGUAGUGAAUCUUCAGCAAUGGACGGAAGUCUGACCGAGCAACGCCGCGGGAGUGAAGAAGGUUUUCGGAUCGUAAAGCUCUGUUGUAAGAGAAGAACGAGUGUGAGAGUGGAAAGUUCACACUGUGACGGUAUCUUACCAGAAAGGGACGGCUAACUACGUG
RNAcentral lists this ribosomal RNA (495 nucleotides) under uncultured bacterium. Its description in RNAcentral is "partial 16S ribosomal RNA". It matches the Rfam family "Bacterial small subunit ribosomal RNA", at positions 28 to 507 of the family's 1533-position model. The record is from RNAcentral.